This 76-nucleotide transfer RNA is filed under the name Betaproteobacteria bacterium. Its description in RNAcentral is "tRNA-Lys". It matches the Rfam family "tRNA". From Rfam's summary of the family: Transfer RNA (tRNA) molecules are approximately 80 nucleotides in length. Their secondary structure includes four short double-helical elements and three loops (D, anti-codon, and T loops). Further hydrogen bonds mediate the characteristic L-shaped molecular structure. tRNAs have two regions of fundamental functional importance: the anti-codon, which is responsible for specific mRNA codon recognition, and the 3' end, to which the tRNAs corresponding amino acid is attached (by aminoacyl-tRNA synthetases). tRNAs cope with the degeneracy of the genetic code in two manners: having more than one tRNA (with a specific anti-codon) for a particular amino acid; and 'wobble' base-pairing, i.e. permitting non-standard base-pairing at the 3rd anti-codon position. Lineage: Bacteria; Pseudomonadati; Pseudomonadota; Betaproteobacteria. The record is from RNAcentral.
GGGCGGUUAGCUCAGUUGGUAGAGCAGCGGACUUUUAAUCCGUUGGUCGCGAGUUCGAGUCUCGCACCGCCUACCA